UCCUUUCACUCUCCACCCCCGUCUCCCCCUUUCUCUCUUCUCUCCCACUCCCUCCCUCUCUGCUGUCCAUAAACCACUCUGGGGCUUUUUUUUCUCUCCUUAAUAUAUAUAUAAAGAUUAAAGUGUGUGUGGGCUGUUCAUACUUACCCUCAAAUUUAGGAGAGCACCCUACUCUGAGCUGUAAAUGCACAUUGGGCACGGGAAGACGUACAGUAUAAUAUGGAAAGCAAUACUGAUUGAUUUGCAUACUAUAGUGAAUUUCAUACACUGCCACAGGACCAUAUACAUUGGAUUGUCUAUCUGGUUACUCUUGUUUAUCUUCUUCUGGAUAUUAUGCUGCUCUUCAAAUGUUGGUUUUUGGAUGAGAGUCACAGACUUGUGCAGGUGGAUGGCUAGGGGAAGAUGAGUGUCAAGGACCAGUACCACCACCUCUAGUACGGACCUCAUGGCCGGAUGGCAUUGGUGCAGUGCCACAUGCCGCUCAUGGAAUGAAGCCAUAGAGAACAGGAAGUCAGAGCCAGCAUCAGCACCUGAUUGUCUUGUUGGCUUUGGUCCAUUCUUGGUGAUUGCGGCUCAUUACUGUGUGAGGCUAAAGAAAAACAUGAGGUUGAACCAAGAUGUAUGCCGGCCUGAGGGAAUCUCGCCCUGACCAAGGAGUAUGGUGCUAUGAAUCAGGCACAUUCUUGAUGAUAGUUGGAUUCAUCUUUUUGUUUUCUUUGGGUCGUGUUUGAACAGCAUACAGCAGACCAGACAUUAACUUUGAAAGCGAACGUAAAAAGAUCCAGUAGAUCACUCUAUGAACUGGAUUCAGUUUGGGAGAAAAAGAAUAUUGGAUCCGCACUCCCCAAAUUCAUCAAAAACUUUUGCAUAUGUAGCUACUCCUGUUAGCUUGAGAGAGAUGAGCCAAUGGGAGGAAGGAUGGAAAUUUGACUGAUCAAAAGUUUGGAACUAUUAUACACACCAUAGUUUAUGUAAUUUUUUUUUUGUAAUUUUUAUUUAUUUUCUAUAAUUAUUAUGUAUACUGUGAUUAAAAUCGUGUUUCUAUUAUUGUUUAAAUGCUCUAAGGUUAUAUAGAAUGCAAAGAGGUUUUGACACUCAGGUUGAUGGGUCAGUAUAAUAAUAUUGGACAUAACACUUAAUAAUACAUAGAAGCCAAGGGUGGAUUGUAACAGUAUUGAUUUCUGACCUACAGCUAACUAUUUGUCUUCUAUGUAUAAAAUGUGUACACAUAGCCAUAUACUGUAUUUGUGUUGUAAGACUUUAGUUUUCCAUCUUUGUAGGAACAAGCUGUUUGUUCUUUAUAGUAUGUUAACAAGCAAUUGUUAACAUUUUAGCUUACAUAAUAGGCCAGACAAUAGGUCUAUUCAUGAUCAACAAACAGAUGUUUACCUUUGAUUAAGUGGCCUAGACAUCUAAAAUAUGCAAAGGCUAUUUGUCCUACAUUAGAAUUCAAUACAACAAUAGAUUUCCUAAUAUUGUACAAGUGACCAGGGACUCCAAUGACAUGUGGAUGGAGAUAUGAUCCCUUGACCACCUCUCAGAAGUCUGGGUUAAAUAGAAGGUCAUGUCAGACUGAUAGCAGCCUCCAUUGAGACCUGAGAUUGGCAAUAGGGUUCCUUUGACUGACGAGACCUAGGCGCUACGCAGCGACAGGAGGCUCCCUGGGACUACACCUUAUGCUAGGACUCUGAUUAUCCUGUAUAACUGCCUUAAGGAACGUGGAUAAGUAUAUUUUAAUUAUUGUCAAUGAUAUUGUAAAUAAAUGAUUUGU
Molecule: long non-coding RNA, 1771 nt
Organism: Pseudophryne corroboree (corroboree frog)
Lineage: Eukaryota; Metazoa; Chordata; Amphibia; Anura; Myobatrachidae
Exons: 5
Source: RefSeq, a predicted model, not a curated record